AUUGAACGCUGGCGGAAUGCUUUACACAUGCAAGUCGAGCGGCAGUGCGGGGGCAACCCUGGCGGCGAGCGGCGAACGGGUGAGUAACAUAUCGGAACGUACCCAGUACGUGGGGGGAUAACUAUCCGAAAGGAUAGCUAAUACCGCAUACGUCCUGAGGGAGAAAGCGGGGGAUCGCAAGACCUCGCGCGAUUGGAGCGGCCGAUAUCGGAUUAGCUAGUUGGUGGGGUAAAGGCUCACCAAGGCGACGAUCCGUAGCGGGUCUGAGAGGACGACCCGCCACACUGGAACUGAGACACGGUCCAGACUCCUACGGGAGGCAGCAGUCGGGGAAUUUUGGACAAUGGGAGCAACCCUGAUCCAGCCAUUCCGCGUGAGUGAGAAGGCCUCGGUUGUAAGUA
Molecule: ribosomal RNA, 401 nt
Filed under: uncultured bacterium
Lineage: Bacteria
Description: bacterial SSU rRNA
Rfam family: Bacterial small subunit ribosomal RNA
Source: RNAcentral